RNAcentral lists this long non-coding RNA (1320 nucleotides) under Mytilus galloprovincialis (Mediterranean mussel). The record is from RNAcentral. Lineage: Eukaryota; Metazoa; Mollusca; Bivalvia; Mytilida; Mytilidae.
AAUAAGUUGAUUAUCAUUUUAGGGUUUUAGCGCAGCUUCAUGAGUGUCCCUUAUCCAGCCUUGGAUGGCAUAGAUUAGCACCACAUUAUGCAGCUGAAAAAUUCUUUCGGGAUGCUACAAUUCAGCACUAAACAGGGCAUGUAUAGAGAUGUAAGUAUAUAACUAAGCUAUUACUAUCAAAACAUGUUGAUGUUAUAUACGUCAAUAUGACGUCAGAAAUAUAUAAAAAAAAUCUUAUACAUUUUGUGUAAUAUUUCAAAAGUGUACACCAAAGCGUCGUGAUUGGUUACAAACUUCAUACACAAUUGAAAUUCAACAAAUGACGUGACGUUAUUUUCAUUUUUGUGUACGAACAAUAAAAUUACCUAUAGUCCUUUAGAUUCUUAAACGGUCGAUUGCACCCUUACACAACGCUCGGGAUUCACAUCUUAACACAUUAAGCUACAUUAGUAAUCAUUGUUAGUAAUAAUUGUCCCAUUUUGAAUUAAUACUAUUUAUUUAUGCACUACUUCCAUGCAGAAGCCUGUUUUAAUAAGUGAGUGAUUAUGAAAAAAAAAACACGUUGACUACCUUUAUUUCAAAUGAUUGCCAAAACCUUAUAUCAUCACAUUUGAAAAAAAAACACUUCCUCAUUUCUAUGGAGAUUAGCAGUCCAUCAAUAGAGGUAACAAAUGUACAUUAACAAAAACACCCACAAAGAGUUAAAUGCCAUUUAGUUCUUACGGUGUCAAUUUUUCUUUGUACUAAGUCAGGAAUAUGACAGUUGUUGUCCAUUCGUUUGAUGUGUUUUAUCAUUUGAUUAGGGACUUUCCGUUUUGAAACUUCCUAGGAGUUCAGUAUUUUUGUGAUUUUACUUUUUGUUUAUGCUCACGCGUUUAUUUUAAGCCAUUUGCAUAUUAGAAGUUUUAAAAGAUUGCCUUAUUAAAUCAGAAAUAUGAAAGUCUUUUCGUUGGAUGAAAUAACCAAACGUUUGGUUUUAUCAAUUUUUAUGGAGUUCUCCUUCUUAGAACUGCCUUGUUGCUCCGUAUUGUAUUGUUUCUGAAUCAAAUAUCAAAGUAAAUCAACUCUCGUUUUCUUAUUAUAAAACUGAUUUAAAAAGAUAGAAACCCAACAUUAUAUUUUUCUAAGUUACAGAGUUCUUUGCUUUUCCGGUCUGAUAACUGCUGAAUGGUUAUAAAUUAUUGAUUUUUUUGUUUGUAGAUUGUGAGUUAACAGAAAAGUGGAUUCCACCGGCAUAACGCAUUAUAACCAUACCAUAUUGUAAAUGGAAUGUAACCACGCAUCCUUGCUAUCACAAUAAAUAUUUAAAUUGAAAUUUUA